AAAAUAUUUGCUAACCUAUUCUUCAUAAAGCCAGGUAUGUUUCUGUGAAAUGGAGAGGCAAUGUUGACAUUUGUCCUCCUGCCAGCAGCAGCAAUCAGGUUGCCUUGUUAUCUCAGCUAACCCUCCCCCAUGCUGAUGUACUAAAUAAGGGACUGUCGAAGCUCUGUCCCAAGGCAUUUCAGCUCCAUGGUCACAGCUCUGAGUAUCUGUGCAAAAGGCAGGAGCAGCUUGGUCCCAUCCCUCCAGUGGGACCUUAGUGCAGAGAGAAAUCGGUGACAGAAAGCUCUCGAAUACCUGAAGUUUGACCCAUAUUUCUGAAGGAGCUUCUACAGAGUCUGUCAACUCCGUGGCCAUCUUCAGGAUUCUUCUGGCUGUGAAGACUGAUCCGUGCCUCUCUGGGUAUAUCCCCGUUCCUAGCCUACCAUUUGCAUAUCCAGAGAGACAUAGACCUCCAGCAUAAGUAUGAGUCUAAAAAUGUGGGCCUGGGACACCUGGUGCUUGGAAGAUGAAGUAUGGACAGAUAUAACUAUGCUUGGGGCAUUUUGUUUCACUUUUCCUUCAUAAGAGGGCAUCUAGCUGCAGCAGCACAGAGGGAAUGAGCUGUUAUUGCAAUAGAAGACAUCAUUGUGUGGCCUACCUUGACUUUUUGGUCUGCUACUAUGUGUUUGAAAGGAUAUGUGCCCUGCCUCAGAAAAACUACUUCAUCUAUCAGAAACAGCAAAGAUGCUGCAGUACUCUGCCAGGUGAGCUGGCACUGGGGACACUAAUCUCAUAGGCUAAGGAGAUCACUAGUCUCAUCUAGAUCGUUAGGUCACUAAUCUCAUCUCUCUUUCUCCUGAUUUUCAUUUGGAGUCGCAGAGCAGGAUUCAGGUAAAGCAUUAACUUAUCUGCCCAGCAGGGCAGAAGAAAAGGAACACUAGCAGGUAGAACAGCUAAGGAAGCUGUCUCCCGAAAUUCACUGGGGGCAUGUAGUAACAUGUAAUCUCCUCUUGCCUAAUAUGUUUGUGCUGGAGGAAGUCUUGUCUGGCCCUCUGUGUUUAAUCACAACUGUCACUUUGAAUAAGUGGUGCCAAAAUUAUUUUUCUUUAAUGUAACUGUUUCAGGGUGGGGUUUUCCAAUUAUGGACUUCACUCUGUUCCCAUUCAACUCUAUGGGAGUUCUAUCAGUGACUUCAGUGGCAGCAGAAUUAAACAACACAGGGUGCUUUGGAAAACUGGGCCCUCAUUUAUUAAAUUACCGUAGCAAGUUUCUCGAUGAAAUCAUCUGGAGCUCCCAGAGAUGCCAGUCCAAUUUCCUGUAACAAUAAACCAUUAUUCUUCAAGCCAUUUAUUGCAAACAUUCUUCCUGUCUUGUCUUAUGUAAUUUCUCACAUUUUAAAUGUUACCAUCACUUAUUACCACACACAAAUGUUUACAGGACAUAUUCCUAUCGUGCAACAUCAAUUUUAAACCAGAACUCUCUCCAGAAAUGAACAAAAGGGUCCUGUCUAAAUGUCAUUUACAAGGCAUAGUUCUUUGUGCUUGGUACAAAAGCCAUUGAAGUCAAAUAAAAUUCUCCUUUUGCUUUGACAGACUUUUGAUCAAGCCCACAAUGCACACCCAAGAGAAUGAUACAGUCAAAAGAAGAUAAAUCAAUCACAUCCAUACUGCUUAAAUAUUUAUUUUUGCUUUGAUGGGUCCGGAUUGCAGGAGGUUUCUUGCAGCCUUGAAAGACAUGUUUGUUUAUUUGUGUUUUUUUCCUGAAUGACAGGGCAUGAUUUGAAAGAGCUCAUUCAUACCUUGGGAGGUAAUAGAAACUUUCCCAGGAGGCAUGCUAUAGCUGGAUUCAGAAGCUACAUGAGACUGUAUAUAACCAGGUACCUUUCUCACUUUGCUCCAGUGAGGACUGCACAAUGUAAAAUCAGAGCCCCCGCCCCCAGUACCCUUUCCCAAACCAAAAGCAUUAGUGCAGCUAUUGUCAAAUAUGUCAAAUCCCAAUAAGCCGAAGUGCAGUAGGGGCUAUUUUGAAGGAAUCCCUGGUCCUGGGGAAAUGCAGAGCCUGCAGUCAAUACUGAGUGCUAAUAGCUACAGCAGGUUAAUUUCUGUCUUGUGAGCAGGUUGUUACAUAAAGGCUAUGUCCCUUUCUUUCCCUUCUUCCGUACUUCCAUCUUUCUGUCCUUGACCUCCCAUCCUUCUAUCCUCAAUCCUUCUUUCUGUCUUUAUUUCUGUCUCUCUUUGUCUUUCUCUUCCUUCUUUUCUUCCUUCCUUCCUUCCUUCCUUCCUGUCUGUCUGUCUGUUUUUUCUUGUUUUUCUGGUAAGAUGCAGCCUAAAUUUACUCCUUCCCUGAGGUUUGGCUUCUUUUCCAGAGACAUUAACACUAGCAAAGAGAAAGCUCUUCUCCAGCCGUCUCACACAUUUGCAGAUGGGACAGUUCCUCACUUGACAUCCUCUGUGAUAGACUUCUCUGUGACUUCAACAGAAAAAUAAGUAAAUAAAUAAAUAAAAAUUCUUCACUUUCCCGAACGUUUGGGCUACAAGAUGGAGCAAUAACUCAUUUGAAUCACGAGCCAUUUAACUUUCCCCAGAAGGAUCAACAUCUACAGAGAAGGUUUUAGAUGAAUUCUUUACAAAGGAUUUGCCUGUAAAAAACAACCCACACAAGAUAAACGUUUGGCGUAUGGGUACAGAAGUUCACACAUGUGAUUUGUGUCUAGAUUUCAAGCAGUAAAUAAAUCCUGAUUCACAGUCUUCAUGACAUCAGCUGUUGUCAGAAAUGCAGCAAUGCUCUCCCCUAUGUUCCAGUUUGUUUCUUUACUACUCUUAGGAAGCUACCAACUGCAAACAUACAUCAUUUCAAUGGAAUAGAAACAUUAAGGUUGGAAAAGACUUCCAAGAUCAUCUGGUCCAACCAUCCUCCUACAACCAAUGUCACCCACUAAAUCAUGUCCCUAACCACCAAGUCCAACCUUUCCUUGAACACCCCCAGGGACAGU
Non-coding RNA from Anas platyrhynchos (mallard), 2971 nucleotides. The record is from RefSeq and is a predicted model, not a curated record. Lineage: Eukaryota; Metazoa; Chordata; Aves; Anseriformes; Anatidae.